RNAcentral lists this transfer RNA (67 nucleotides) under Furcifer oustaleti (Oustalet's chamelion). Its description in RNAcentral is "tRNA-Ala". It matches the Rfam family "tRNA". Rfam says of the family: Transfer RNA (tRNA) molecules are approximately 80 nucleotides in length. Their secondary structure includes four short double-helical elements and three loops (D, anti-codon, and T loops). Further hydrogen bonds mediate the characteristic L-shaped molecular structure. tRNAs have two regions of fundamental functional importance: the anti-codon, which is responsible for specific mRNA codon recognition, and the 3' end, to which the tRNAs corresponding amino acid is attached (by aminoacyl-tRNA synthetases). tRNAs cope with the degeneracy of the genetic code in two manners: having more than one tRNA (with a specific anti-codon) for a particular amino acid; and 'wobble' base-pairing, i.e. permitting non-standard base-pairing at the 3rd anti-codon position. The record is from RNAcentral. Lineage: Eukaryota; Metazoa; Chordata; Lepidosauria; Squamata; Chamaeleonidae.
AAAGUCUUAGCUUAAUUAAAGUAUUUGAGUUGCAUUCAUAAGAUGUUGAUAAAAUCAACAGGCUUUC